UGGGGAAUAUUGCACAAUGGGCGCAAGCCUGAUGCAGCCAUGCCGCGUGUGUGAAGAAGGCCUUCGGGUUGUAAAGCACUUUCAGCGGGGAGGAAGGCGAUAAGGUUAAUAACCUUGUCGAUUGACGUUACCCGCAGAAGAAGCACCGGCUAACUCCGUGCCAGCAGCCGCGGUAAUACGGAGGGUGCAAGCGUUAAUCGGAAUUACUGGGCGUAAAGCGCACGCAGGCGGUCUGUCAAGUCGGAUGUGAAAUCCCCGGGCUCAACCUGGGAACUGCAUUCGAAACUGGCAGGCUAGAGUCUUGUAGAGGGGGGUAGAAUUCCAGGUGUAGCGGUGAAAUGCGUAAAGAUCUGGAGGAAUACCGGUGGCGAAGGCGGCCCCCUGGACAAAGACUGACGCUCAGGUGCGAAAGCGUGGGGAGCAAACAGG
This 429-nucleotide ribosomal RNA is filed under the name Chloroflexota bacterium. RNAcentral describes it as "Chloroflexi bacterium partial 16S ribosomal RNA". It matches the Rfam family "Bacterial small subunit ribosomal RNA", at positions 355 to 776 of the family's 1533-position model. The record is from RNAcentral. Lineage: Bacteria; Bacillati; Chloroflexota.